RNAcentral lists this ribosomal RNA (521 nucleotides) under uncultured bacterium. RNAcentral describes it as "partial 16S ribosomal RNA". It matches the Rfam family "Bacterial small subunit ribosomal RNA", at positions 355 to 866 of the family's 1533-position model. The record is from RNAcentral.
UGGGGAAUAUUGCACAAUGGGCGAAAGCCUGAUGCAGCAACGCCGCGUGAGUGAUGAAGGCCUUCGGGUUGUAAAGCACUUUUGUCCGGAAAGAAAUCCUUGGCUCUAAUACAGUCGGGGGAUGACGGUACCGGAAGAAUAAGCACCGGCUAACUACGUGCCAGCAGCCGCGGUAAUACGUAGGGUGCAAGCGUUAAUCGGAAUUACUGGGCGUAAAGCGUGCGCAGGCGGUUUGCUAAGACCGAUGUGAAAUCCCCGGGCUCAACCUGGGAACUGCAUUGGUGACUGGCAGGCUAGAGUAUGGCAGAGGGGGGUAGAAUUCCACGUGUAGCAGUGAAAUGCGUAGAGAUGUGGAGGAAUACCGAUGGCGAAGGCAGCCCCCUGGGCCAAUACUGACGCUCAUGCACGAAAGCGUGGGGAGCAAACAGGAUUAGAUACCCCUGGUAGUCCACGCCCUAAACGAUGUCAACUAGUUGUUGGGGGAUUCAUUUUCCUUAGUAACGUAGCUAACGCGUGAAGUU